CUUUAAAUCAGGCGUGUGUCUAUGGCGUUAUUUUUGUGCCACUAUUCUGAGCACACGUAAAAAAUUGCAGGUGCAAGUGUUGCAUUUUGAGGAGAAAUUUAUUUUGAGCGAAGAAAAGCUAAAUUUGAGUGAACAAAAUUCAUUGCUACCGUGCAAAAAAUGUAUUUCAGUGUUUGUUAUUAUCCAUACAGACCAGGAUAAUUUAGGCCAGAGUGCUCUUCAAAGAACUGACAGACACGACCGCAUUAGAAGAAGAUGGUGUGAGUCCAAUUUGAUGUUCCAGUCAACACUGAGAGACCUUGAGCAGGAAGUCAGAGGUCAGCUGAUGCUGCGAGCACAAAAUGAACCAAGCAAGAAGGAUCGCUCUACUCAAUCUCAAAAGAAAAUCUCCUGAGAGGGAAACGUAUUUUCUGCAUCACUUCCUCACAGUAAAGAUAUUUGUACCGCACUCCUGCAAAGAAGAUUCUACUGACAGGGGAUCGCUAUAAGGCUGUCCAAGCAAAUCCAUGGCUGUAACAGGAGACUGAAGAAGAUUGUAACAGAGUCCAACAGUCUGCAGUGGCCACCACAGUCCACUGUCUUCACAUCACAGGGACAAUUUCAACAUGUCUGUGAAGUCUCCUUGCCCUUGUACUCAUGCCUUGAUGAACAAACAGAAGAAGGUGACGUUCCAUCGAUGCCUUACAUUUGAAGACCAGAGCAGCUGAAGAAAAGCUCUGACUCCAACGUGAGAUGGACACUGUGAUUCAUCAUCUCCACCAGCAACACACUUACCUGCAUUCAUCAAUAGAUGACAGUGAAGACCCUGGUCCCACAGCUGUUCCUGUUCACAGCAUUAUCCAGUUAGAGAGGAAACUGUAUAAUGCAAUGAUGAUGUUCCAGCGUCAUGUUGAAGUUGUUGCUCCUCCUCCACAUGCUCACCUGCCACAGUUUCAUUCAGUGUCUCAGACAGUCAUGUCACCUGAUCUACAUGUUUUGCUGUACGAUGACGUCAUCUUGACGUUGACGAGGAGGGUGAGAAAAACUAGUUGUCCUGCAGAUGGCGAUCUUGCACCAUGUUCAGAGAGCCGACACGUUGAUGAUGCUGGUCUACUCAGCUUACUUUUAGCCUGGGUUGGACUCUAUAUGAGCCAGCUCCCACUCUGGUUUUCACUGUUGAAUACAGUUGUUUGUUUUCACUUGUAAAAGUUGAAAAAUAAAU
Long non-coding RNA from Oreochromis aureus, 1201 nucleotides. The record is from Ensembl. NCBI's taxonomy places the organism in Eukaryota, Metazoa, Chordata, Actinopteri, Cichliformes, Cichlidae.